This 1235-nucleotide small RNA is filed under the name Pongo abelii (Sumatran orangutan). RNAcentral's name for it is "processed transcript". The record is from RNAcentral. Lineage: Eukaryota; Metazoa; Chordata; Mammalia; Primates; Hominidae.
AAAAAGGCAGUAAACGGGGAAUCUCUUUUUUUGAAUCAAGAAGAAGAAGAAAUAAAGUACCUGUCAUCUUGACAAGUGGCGGAGCGGAGGAGUCAAGGAUUAUAAAUGAUCACAGCCAGGUCCAGCUCGCCCCGUGAUUGGGCUCUCCCGCGAUCUGCACCGGGAGAAGCGCAUGAGAGGCCAAUGAGACUCGAACCCUGAACCUAAGUUGUCACCAGCAGGACUGAUGUGCACACAGAAGGAAUGAAGUAUGGAUGUGAAAGAACGCAGGCCUUACUGCUCCCUGACCAAGGGCAGACGAGAGAAAGAACGGCGCUACACAAAUUCCUCCGCAGACAAUGAGGAGUGUCGGGUACCCACACAGAAGUCCUACAGUUCCAGCGAGACACUGAAAGCUUUUGAUCAUGAUUCCUCGCGGCUGCUUUAUGGCAACAGAGUGAAGGAUUUGAUUCACAGAGAAGCCGACGAGUUCACUGGACAAGGACAGAAUUUUACCCUAAGGCAGUUAGGAGUUUGUGAACCAGCAACUCGAAGAGGACUGGCAUUUUGUGCGGAAAUGGGGCUCCCUCACAGAGGUUACUCUAUCAGUGCAGGGUCAGAUGCUGAUACUGAAAAUGAAGCAGUGAUGUCCCCAGAGCAUGCCAUGAGACUGUGGGGCAGGGGGGUCAAAUCAGGCCGCAGCUCCUGCCUGUCAAGUCGGUCCAACUCAGCCCUCACCCUGACAGAUACGGAGCACGAAAACAAGUCCGACAGUGAGAAUGCUUGAGAUGUGUUCUUGGAAGUUCUAUUGUAUCACUAAAGGUUGAAAAGAGAAGGAGAUGGGUGAAAUACCUCACCAAAAGGAAACUAAUUUAAGAGCCAGAUGCUGAUGUGUUUUCAUCUGGUUUAACAUGAGAGCUUUCCUUGACUGUUUUCUUCAUUUGAAAUAACUGUGAAUGAGGCUGUUUUUCCCAGAAAAAAAAAUGUUAUUCAACAUUGUAAAAUUAUGCAAGCAGAGUGCCUGAUGUUCUAGCUACAACUUCAAAGAAGAAUUUAGUCACUAAAAGGGAUUAGAUUCCAUUUAUUUAUUGAUAAAGAGGCCAACAGUUCAAGUUAAGAAGGCGCUAGAACUGCUGUGAGGCUAAUGAAAUUUUGAUGGCCCGAGCCUCCCACAAGAGUAAGAGAACAUUCGGACCGUGUCACACAGCUCUCUGUUAGCUGAGAUUCAAAACAAGUGAUCAGAUUUAUUCUUUUGC